Molecule: long non-coding RNA, 518 nt
Filed under: Phoenix dactylifera (date palm)
Lineage: Eukaryota; Viridiplantae; Streptophyta; Magnoliopsida; Arecales; Arecaceae
Description: long non-coding RNA (PDAC_LNC022424)
Source: RNAcentral
AGACAAGGAAACAUUGAUCGGUCCUCUACUUCGUGUGGAUACCCGUAGAGGCCGGACGUUUGAACGGCUUCAAGCGAACCCUCUUCCAAAACCACGAAUUCAGAUUUGCGGUGAUCAUCUACCCGCGCAAGGUGAAGAUUUGAUCUUCCUAAUAGUUUUAAAAGUUUUAAUUCUUACCUAAUUACGAAAGGUCUCGAAACAACGUUCAUGUGAUGAACGUCGAUCCCGCACAUGCCUCUUCCGCUGCCAUCUGAUUUAAUUUUUGAAAUAUCAGCGGCAUGGGCGGGUUCCCAACAUGUAUACUUUGAGCAAAUAAGAUAUCACAAAUUCUUCUUUUUGAUGCAUAGAUUUAUCACUAUUACUUUCUAUCAAAAAGUUACUCAAACUUUUAUAUCAUGCUUUUGAUGCUUGUUCCAAAUCAUAUAUUGCUUUAUCAUAUUUGUAAUGAGUGUUUUCAAAUAUGGUGGUUAUUUAACAUAUAUCUUCUUUAAUAAAGUAAGCACAUAGGAGUCCAUUCU